UACUAGAGUAGCACUCGCAUAUCAAUAAGCGGAGGAAAAGAAACUAACUAGGAUUCCCUUAGUAACGGCGAGUGAAGCGGGAAGAGCUCAAAUUUGAAAUCUUCAAGGUUCUACCUUGACGAAUUGUAGUUUAAAGAAGUGUUUUCUGUUGGAAGUUUUGGUAAAAGUUCUUUGGAAUAGGACAUCAUAGAGGGUGAGAAUCCCGUAUUUGGUCAUUCCUUCUAGCGUUGUGAUACACUUUCAACGAGUCGGAUUGUUUGGGAAUGCAGUCCAAAAUGGGUGGUAAAUUUCAUCUAAAGCUAAAUAUUGGCGAGAGACCGAUAGCGAACAAGUACCGUGAGGGAAAGAUGAAAAGAACUUUGAAAAGAGAGUUAAACAGUACGUGAAAUUGUCAAAAGGGAAGCGUUUGACACCAGUGUUGUUUUUCCGAAAAUCAAUUACGAAUGUUUUGUUUUUAAGAAGUUAUGACUUCAUCGGCUUGCUUCUUUCUUUACGAAACUUUCUUAAUGCACUUUUCGGUUAACAAGUCAACAUCAAUUUCUUUUGUUGUAAAAGGGUAUGAGGAAGGUGGCUUUCUUUUCGGAGAAAGUGUUUAUAGCCUUGUGCCUCUGCAAUCGGAGAGAUUGAGGUCUGCAGCGUAGAUCCUUCGGGGUUAGAUACAUUUGUGCUAAGUUAUAGCUUUUCAUAGACAACUUGUUGACUAUGUUUAGUCUUGUAGCUUACUCGCUUAUGCUAUUUUACCUACGCUUAGGAUGUUGAAGAUGUAGCACAUCAU
RNAcentral lists this ribosomal RNA (775 nucleotides) under uncultured Neocallimastigales. Its description in RNAcentral is "partial large subunit ribosomal RNA". It matches the Rfam family "Eukaryotic large subunit ribosomal RNA", at positions 20 to 643 of the family's 3401-position model. Lineage: Eukaryota; Fungi; Neocallimastigomycota; Neocallimastigomycetes; Neocallimastigales. The record is from RNAcentral.